GAUGAACGCUGGCGGCGUGCCUAAUACAUGCAAGUCGAGCGAACAGACGAGGAGCUUGCUCCUCUGACGUUAGCGGCGGACGGGUGAGUAACACGUGGAUAACCUACCUAUAAGACUGGGAUAACUUCGGGAAACCGGAGCUAAUACCGGAUAAUAUAUUGAACCGCAUGGUUCAAUAGUGAAAGACGGUUUUGCUGUCACUUAUAGAUGGAUCCGCGCCGCAUUAGCUAGUUGGUAAGGUAACGGCUUACCAAGGCGACGAUGCGUAGCCGACCUGAGAGGGGGAUCGGCCACACUGGAACUGAGACACGGUCCAGACUCCUACGGGAGGGAGCAGUAGGGAAUAUUACGCAAAGGGGGGAAGCCUGACCGAGCCAAGCCGGGUGGGUGAAGAAGGUCUUCCGGCCGGAAAACCCUUUUUUUAGGGAAGAAAAAAAGGGGAAGUAAACACUGCAGUUCUGACGGUAACCAAAGAAAAAGCCCCGGCUAACUUCGUG
RNAcentral lists this ribosomal RNA (497 nucleotides) under uncultured bacterium. RNAcentral's name for it is "partial 16S ribosomal RNA". It matches the Rfam family "Bacterial small subunit ribosomal RNA", at positions 28 to 507 of the family's 1533-position model. The record is from RNAcentral.